Non-coding RNA from Poecilia reticulata (guppy), 1108 nucleotides. Lineage: Eukaryota; Metazoa; Chordata; Actinopteri; Cyprinodontiformes; Poeciliidae. The record is from RefSeq and is a predicted model, not a curated record.
AUAAUAAACCUUACAGAUUUCAUCAGAACCUCCUGAGAGCCUCGGCCUCUCAGUUUGGAUGCUUUGCUCCAGAGCAGAGCUGUGUUGAUGUGGACCAGAACUCCAUCCAGACUCUGAUUCCUGAUCAACGUCAGCGUCAUGGAAACCAUGGAGGAUGAGCGGGUUGAGUCAAUCAGUCUGAGACGUAUCAAUGAAACCUGGUUCUUCAUAAAGCAGCUCACAGGCUCUGCAGGAUCCCACUGACUUUCAGAUAAACAUGAGAAAAUGAUCUGGAUUUUUCUCUAACAAGGAGAAGCUCGUCUGUUGUCGGCUGAACUGUGCCUACAGACCUGUCGCCCUGACAUCCCGCAGCAUGGAGGUCCUGGAGAGACUCCUGUUGGCCUACCUGAGUAAGCAGACAAGCAGACCCCCUUCAACACAGCCUGUGUCAUCUGGACAAAGUAGCAGCAUUGUGAAGAUCAUGUUCUCUGGUUUCUCCAGUCCAUUUAACAUAAUUCAGCCUGAUCUGAUCUGUGAUAAACUCCAGAAGACAGAAGUGGAGGYCUCAACAAUCACCUGGAUCUAUGACUACCUGAUAACAGACCACAGUUUGAGAGACCGAUUGACUGUGUGUCCAACCAGGCGGGGAGCACCACAGGGCUCUGUACUCUCACCAUUCCUUUUCACUCUGUACACUUCAGACUUCCAGCACAAGUCCAACAUCUGUCAUCCACAGAAAUGCUCAGAUGAGUGUGCAGCUGUUGGGUGAAUCAGAAAUGGACAAGAGGUCGAGUACAGAGAGCUGGUGGACCGCUUUGUGUUAUGGAGGGAACAAUCAAAUCAUCUUAAAUGUAACAAAACAAAGGAGAUGAUUGUUGUUGAGAAGCCAGUUACCAUUAUAGGUGAAGAAGUGGAGGUGGUUGAGGAAUAUAGAUGCCUCAGAAAGUAUGACGGCGCUUUAUGGCCAGACUAAGAGAGUUUUACUUUCAAAUACAAGAAUGCAGUCAUAAAACUACGAGAACCAAGUCGUAUUAGCAGAAUAGUUUAAAUAUUGGCAGAGUGAAGACGCAAUAUUGCCGGAAGAAAGUYGUUAAAUUAAAAAGCUUUGAUGGAGUGAUAUGAAACGUGA